RNAcentral lists this unclassified non-coding RNA (207 nucleotides) under uncultured Trechisporales. Its description in RNAcentral is "sequence contains ITS2". The record is from RNAcentral. Lineage: Eukaryota; Fungi; Basidiomycota; Agaricomycetes; Trechisporales.
UAUCAUCAAACCCCUCGGGUUCGCGCCCGUUGCGGUUUGGAGUUGGGGGCUUGCUGCCGCGAGGCGGCUCCCCUUAAAAUCAUCGGUUUGGCCCGCACCAUGCGGCUUGCACCUUUGGCGUUGUAUUUUCCUCGCCUUCAAUCGGUCUCGCUCGCUUCCGCGCCUCACCUCGACUUGCCCUUUGGGUGGCGGUCACUUCUUGACAAU